Molecule: unclassified non-coding RNA, 595 nt
Filed under: Hevea brasiliensis (rubber tree)
Lineage: Eukaryota; Viridiplantae; Streptophyta; Magnoliopsida; Malpighiales; Euphorbiaceae
Source: RNAcentral
GAGUGCAAAAAUUUCAUGGUUUUGAAAGGGCACAAAAAUGCAGUUCUGGAUCUUCACUGGACCACUGACGGAUACCAGAUAAUAUCAGCAAGCCCAGAUAAAACUGUCAGAGCAUGGGAUAUUGAGACAGGGAAACAGAUUAAGAAAAUGGCAGAGCACUCAUCUUUUGUAAAUUCAUGUUGUCCGUCAAGGAGAGGGCCUCCACUCAUUGUCAGUGGAUCUGAUGAUGGAACUGCAAAACUUUGGGAUAUGCGACAGAGGGGUGCCAUCCAAACAUUUCCAGAUAAAUACCAAAUCACAGCAGUCAGUUUUUCUGAUGCAUCAGAUAAGAUCUUCACAGGUGGUAUAGACAAUGAUGUUAAGGUUUGGGACUUGCGCAAAGGUGAAGUAACCAUGAAACUUGAAGGCCAUCAAGACAUGAUAACUGGCAUGCAGUUGAGUCCCGAUGGCUCAUAUCUUCUUACUAAUGGUAUGGACUGCAAGCUCUGCAUUUGGGAUAUGCGUCCUUAUGCACCACAGAAUCGCUGUGUUAAGGUACUGGAAGGGCACCAACACAACUUUGAAAAGAACUUGUUGAAAUGCAGCUGGUCACCUG